AUGUUUCUUCCAUUCUUCACUCUGACUCUAACAUUUCCCAUACCUUCUGCAUUAAGUUGCUCAAAGAUUACGCAGUGUCUCCAGAUAUUUUUCUGCCACAAAGCAGUUAUAUUCGAUGAGUAUAGAGCAAUAAAGGGAUCUUCAUACACUUCAACGCUCAUGAAUUUCAUGAAUGAUGGUACAAAGAUUAAGCAGUAUGCUACUGGAGCUUAUGAUUUCCCUUAA
Molecule: non-coding RNA, 225 nt
Organism: Vicia faba (fava bean)
Lineage: Eukaryota; Viridiplantae; Streptophyta; Magnoliopsida; Fabales; Fabaceae
Source: the annotation of a GenBank genome assembly